GAUGGACGCUGGCGGCGUGCCUAAUACAUGCAAGUCGAGCGAACAGACGAGGAGCUUGCUCCUCUGACGUUAGCGGCGGACGGGUGAGUAACACGUGGAUAACCUACCUAUAAGACUGGGAUAACUUCGGGAAACCGGAGCUAAUACCGGAUAAUAUAUUGAACCGCAUGGUUCAAUAGUGAAAGACGGUUUUGCUGUCACUUAUAGAUGGAUCCGCGCCGCAUUAGCUAGUUGGUAAGGUAACGGCUUACCAAGGCAACGAUGCGUAGCCGACCUGAGAGGGUGAUCGGCCACACUGGAACUGAGACACGGUCCAGACUCCUACGGGAGGCAGCAGUAGGGAAUCUUCCGCAAUGGGCGAAAGCCUGACGGAGCAACGCCGCGUGAGUGAUGAAGGUCUUCGGAUUGUAAAACUCUGUUAUUAGGGAAGAACAAAUGUGUAAGUAACUAUGCACGUCUUGACGGUACCUAAUCAGAAAGCCACGGCUAACUACGUG
Molecule: ribosomal RNA, 497 nt
Filed under: uncultured bacterium
Lineage: Bacteria
Description: partial 16S ribosomal RNA
Rfam family: Bacterial small subunit ribosomal RNA
Source: RNAcentral